Molecule: non-coding RNA, 24 nt
Filed under: Rattus norvegicus (Norway rat)
Lineage: Eukaryota; Metazoa; Chordata; Mammalia; Rodentia; Muridae
Source: RNAcentral
UAUUUCAGGUCAGGGCCUCUCUUU